This 863-nucleotide ribosomal RNA is filed under the name uncultured archaeon. RNAcentral's name for it is "bacterial SSU rRNA". It matches the Rfam family "Archaeal small subunit ribosomal RNA", at positions 28 to 900 of the family's 1478-position model. The record is from RNAcentral.
UGCUAUCAGAGUGGGACUAAGCCAUGCGAGUCGACGUAGCAAUGCGUGGCGGACGGCUCAGCAACACGUAGUCAACAUGCCCAGGGGACGUGGAUAACCUCGGGAAACUGAGAAUAAACCACGAUAGGUCACGAUUUCUGGAAUGGAUCAUGGCCUAAAUCUACAUGGCCCCUGGAUUGGACUGCGGCCGAUCAGGCAGUUGGUGAGGUAAUGGCCCACCAAACCUAUAACCGGUACGGGCUCUGAGAGGAGAAGCCCGGAGAUGGGCACUGAGACAAGGGCCCAGGCCCUAUGGGGCGCAGCAGGCGCGAAACCUCUGCAAUAGGCGAAAGCCUGACAGGGUUACUCUGAGUGAUUUCCGCUAAGGGGAUCUUUUGGCACCUCUAAAAAUGGUGCAGAAUAAGGGGUGGGCAAGUCUGGUGUCAGCCGCCGUGGUAAUACCAGCACCCCGAGUGGUCGGGACGAUUAUUGGGCCUAAAGCAUCCGUAGCCGGUUCUGCAAGUCUUCCGUUAAAUCCAGCCGCUCAACGGAUGGGCCGCGGAGGAUACUACAGGACUAGGAGGCGGGAGAGGCAAGCGGUACUCAGUGGGUAGGGGUAAAAUCCUUUGAUCCAUUGAAGACCACCAGUGGCGAAGGCGGCUUGCCAGAACGCGCUCGACGGUGAGGGAUGAAAGCUGGGGGAGCGAACCGGAUUAGAUACCCGGGUAGUCCCAGCUGUAAACGAUGCAGACUCGGUGAUGGGCUAGCCUUGUGCCGCCCCAGUGCCGCAGGGAAGCCGUUAAGCUAGCCGCCUGGGGAGUACGGCCGCAAGGCUGAAACUUAAAGGAAUUGGCGGGGGAGCACCACCAGGCGUGAAGCUGCGG